RNAcentral lists this transfer RNA (70 nucleotides) under Opisthocomus hoazin. Its description in RNAcentral is "tRNA-Val". The record is from RNAcentral. Lineage: Eukaryota; Metazoa; Chordata; Aves; Opisthocomiformes; Opisthocomidae.
CAAGAUGUAGCUAUAACCAAAGCAUUCAGCUUACACCUGAAAGAUACCUGCUACCCCCAGGUCAUCUUGA